UAUGUACACGUAAAUACAUAUACACAUAAUAUAUAUAAUAUAGAUAGAUAGAUGUGGGUGUUCAAACCUCUACACAUAUGUACGAGAGUCCAAAUAACUAAAAAUAGACUGACAAGCAGUAUUCAACGACCUUUAUGCUCAAGGAACGCAUAAUAUCAUCGGAAGUGAUCAAAAGACAAAAUGUUGAACGAGACAAAGAUUA
RNAcentral lists this small RNA (202 nucleotides) under Schizosaccharomyces pombe (fission yeast). Lineage: Eukaryota; Fungi; Ascomycota; Schizosaccharomycetes; Schizosaccharomycetales; Schizosaccharomycetaceae. The record is from RNAcentral.